GGACCCGCACAAGUAGCGGAGCAUGUGGUUUAAUUCGAAGCAACGCGAAGAACCUUACCUAAGCUUGACAUCCUUUUGACCGAUGCCUAAUCGCAUCUUUCCCUUCGGGGACAGAAGUGACAGGUGGUGCAUGGUUGUCGUCAGCUCGUGUCGUGAGAUGUUGGUUAAGUCCCGCAACGAGCGCAACCCUUGCCUUUAGUUGCCAGCAUUAAGUUGGGCACUCUAGAGAGACCGCCGGUGAUAAACCGGAGGAAGGUGUGGAUGACGUCAAGUCAUCAUGCCCCUUACAUCCUGGGCUACACACGUACUACAAUGCUACGGACAAAGGGCAGCAAGUUCGCGAGGAC
RNAcentral lists this ribosomal RNA (347 nucleotides) under uncultured bacterium. RNAcentral's name for it is "bacterial SSU rRNA". It matches the Rfam family "Bacterial small subunit ribosomal RNA", at positions 917 to 1264 of the family's 1533-position model. The record is from RNAcentral.